UACGUAGGCGCCAAGCGUUAUCCGGAUUUACUGGGCGUAAAGCGUCCGCAGGUGGAUUAAUAAGUCUGACAUCAAAGCCCUCGGCUUAACCGGGGAUAGGUGGCGGAUACUGUUAGUCUAGAGGCCGGUAGAGGUUAUUGGAACUUAUCGAGUAGGGGUAAUAUCCGUUGAUACGAUAAGGAACACCAAAGGCGAAGGCAAAUAACUGGGCCGGCCCUGACACUCAUGGACGAAAGCGUGGGGAGCGAACGGG
Molecule: ribosomal RNA, 253 nt
Filed under: uncultured bacterium
Lineage: Bacteria
Description: partial 16S ribosomal RNA
Rfam family: Bacterial small subunit ribosomal RNA
Source: RNAcentral